This is a long non-coding RNA of Pteropus alecto (black flying fox), 2272 nucleotides long. RefSeq lists it as uncharacterized. The record is from RefSeq and is a predicted model, not a curated record. The transcript has 3 exons. Lineage: Eukaryota; Metazoa; Chordata; Mammalia; Chiroptera; Pteropodidae.
UGUGUAGCUGUUAAUAACAACUGCUUUGCUUUGCUAUGAUUCGACUUCAAGGCGCGUUAACGAAAGAUGUUUUCGAAGGCCGAGAACACUUUUUAUGGUAAAAACAGCGAUAAAAGCGGAGUGGAUUCUAGUGCAGAGUGACAAAGAAGUGAUCUUUGGAUCCUUUCAAGUAAUAACAGUAGUGAUGCUUACUGCCUAUUUUCACUGUGCUCAGAACUCUCCCGAGAACACUUUUGACAAGGUGACUCAUAAUAUGUCCGGGACUCAGGUGGCGUUUCCAUCACCAUGGACACCUGACCAGGUCUGUGAACGACGCAUUUCAAGUCUCAGCAGAAGCCCUCCUAUGAUGCAAUUCGCUCCUUAGAUGAAGCUUUGAACCGCAUUUCUUCCUCCGCCACCUGUCGGGGUGAGGGUGGCGAUGUGGCGCCGGACCCCCCUUCCUUAUCAGAGGAAGAAAUUGGCACGUGCGAGGUCAAGGCACCUGCCCGAAGUCACCCAGCCAGAACUUCGCGCUCAGCCUGUACCACGACCACUUUGGCCUGGAAACAGGCUAUUUGGAGCCCCCGUGCCAUGCUCAUGCCCACCUCCCUGGCAGGGCUUGUCCAGCCUUUCAGCUUGAGUGAUCCUUGUCAAGGUCAAGUCACCUUGUCUCAGAGUCUCUCCAACCAACAGGGAGGGGCUGAGCUUUCAUAUCUGUGUCUGCCCUAUCGCACCUCACGAACUCCCCUCAUGGUAUGGGGCACACAGUGCCAGCCAACAUCAAAUCACCCACGGAGCUGGGAGCCCUGGAGGUCAGAGACUCCUCGUGCUCUCAGAGGCUCCUUGCCUGCCCUUGGUGGAGACGCCGGGGUGAGUGCAGCUCCCUCUCUGCCCACUGCACGGAGGCUUUCUCCUUUUCUGCUGAAUCGGGGUGUGACUCCCGUAGCUCAUCACCCAGACUUUUUCCAUCAUCCCCUGCACCCAUGUACCCUCCCGUCUCACAUGCACUGGACGCUGGCUCCCCGAGCACAACCCUCUGAUCAGACAAUGGCUGGUCCAUUGACAUUAUCCCUUUCAGCGGAGACUUAAAAGAGGUUGGAGGAAAAAGGAGCUGCAUCAAGAUAUUUACGAGGUUUCGAAGCCUGGCUUACGGCGGGUCUCGCGAUGCGGCACUUUGGUUAGGACUGGGGGAAGAACGGGUCCCGAUGUCACAGUUCAGGAUUGGCGGACACAGCACGGGGAAGGCUCUGAAGUGUCAUGGGCGUAAACUAUGAUUCAACAGUAGAGGAGUGUGAUGUUCUUUAAUAUGGCUUUUCCAGGAAGUUUCUGAUAAUGAAGAUAUUUAUAACUAUUUUCUUCCUGGGCAAGGAUCUUCUGGAAUAGUAAAGUCUCAUUAAUGUAGCUGGUAGACUGUGUGGGACUGAUGGUUUCAACUGUCACACGUGUGGUCUCAUGUCACCACCUCAUAUUGGAUUCCAUAGAGAGGCCACCCCUCUGGCACUUCCAAGCCACCCAAAGGACACUGGGCUUAAAGGGGUAAAGAAAAACCUAGAUUCUGGCCUCAACACUGUUUCUCUCUCAUUCUGAGACCUUGAUGAAUCACUGGCCCUCUCUGGCCCUCCGUUUUUCCCUCCGUCCAACGGGGCUUUGGGGUAAGUCUUCACUCCAUCCCACGACUCUAUGACUAAGUUUAUGUGCCUGAAGUUGAGGCUUUGGGUAGUGAAAUGACUUCCUAACGGAGACAGGAAAGAGGAGGCGGGGAGGGCAUUAGAGAGAGCAGGGGGAAGUGGGGAGACAGAAGGGGCAGCUGUGGAAGGCUCCAGAACAGCAAGGUUCCUUUAUUCAGGUCUGGGGUUUUUAAGUGUUUUAUCUCGUAGAAAUGCAUACGGCAUUUACAAAUUGGAAAUAACUCUGUAAACUCAGAUAAGAUGGUCCCACUAAUAUUGUCGCCAGAAACAGCUCACCAUGGCUUCUUUUCAAUUAACCAUUUAAAUCACAGCCCAUACAAACCCCAACCCCUGCUGCCUUAGAAUAAAAAAGAAAGUUAGACCAGAGACGACGCGUUUUGAUUCAUGCUGCUGAAUGUGGAAAAUACACAAGCUUUUUUCUUGGAGCCUAUAGUCUAAUGUAGCUCUUUGAAAGAACAUUCCUUCAGCUGCUGGCAGAGAUAUCCGCCACCCCCCUUCCUCCAGAGCUGAAUGGUGAUUCAUUAUAGAUAACCCCUCCUGAUUAAUGUUGUUUUGACUUUAACUUUGACAUUAAAAAAAAAAAAUAAAAGCUGUAAUCGGUAAAA